RNAcentral lists this long non-coding RNA (873 nucleotides) under Pan troglodytes (chimpanzee). Its description in RNAcentral is "long non-coding RNA NONPTRT014785". The record is from RNAcentral. Lineage: Eukaryota; Metazoa; Chordata; Mammalia; Primates; Hominidae.
AAUUUUUGGAAAUGGAAAUCAGUGUCUCUUGGAGAAACUAGAAUGCCUGAUAGGCCCCAGGGGAAGGCUGCAACCAUCACAUCACUGUGUGCUGGAGACUUCUGCAGGGGUUAUGUGUGAUGACGUGCUUGCCUCUAUGUCUUGAGGCUUAAUUGGAGAGUGUCUGAUGCCUGAAGGACUUUCCUGGUUGACAACCUUGAAAAUGGUGAAAGAAAGAAAUUGAAACCAGAUCUCACUGAGUGGGAAGGCCUCACUGAGCUGACCUGUGAACAAAGACCUACAUGAAGUGAUAAGCAGAUAUCUGGGACAAGCAUUCCAGGCACAGGGAACAGCAUGUGCAAAACCCCGGAGACAAGAGUAUUCCUGGAGUGUGAAAGGACUACAAGAUAGCUUCAGUGAGACUCUAUCAAAUUGAAACGAACUGCAGGAACAGACACUUUUUCUCAGUGCAUGGCUGCCACUCUUGGAGAGCAGGAAAGAUGUGCAGUAGGAGCACCUGAGCGGCUCUUCACCACAGCUCAGGAGGGGAGGGGAGGACUCUGAGGCUCAGGAGGAGAGGGGAGGACUCCAUGCCUCAGGAAAAGUGGGAAGAAUACCACAAAGUCUGUGCAAGUUCUCUGCUGUCAAAUGGAGAAAAACAAAAACAAGGGUCAGAGAGCUAUUUUUAUUGAAGAUCUCAAGAAGGACCAAGUCAUUCAUCAAGUGGAGCGGAUGUGGUCAGGAAAAAGGACUGGCCAGAGAAAAUCCAUCUGCAGAGCCUCAUCCUUAUUGGUCAUUUUUCCCCAAAAGACAUCCCAGGAUUCCUGUAUCCUCUGAAUGUGACCCAUCGCCACCUUCAUCAUCAGCCUCAUCAUCAUCAAUGUUUACUUGUUU